CUAAGAAUCUUCCGCAAUGGGCGAAAGCCUGACGGAGCGACGCCGCGUGAACGAAGAAGGCCGUGAGGUUGUAAAGUUCUUUUCGGGAGGGGGAAUUACCGUGGCAGGGAAUGGCCGCGGGAUGACGUGAAUCCCGGAACAAGCCCCGGCUAACUACGUGCCAGCAGCCGCGGUAACACGUAGGGGGCGAGCGUUGUUCGGAAUCAUUGGGCGUAAAGGGCGUGCAGGCGGCACUGCAAGUCCGGCGUGAAAGACCCCGGCCCAACCGGGGGGGUGCGCUGGAAACUGCGGUGCUUGAGUACAGGAGGGGAUGCCGGAAUUCCAGGUGUAGGGGUGAAAUCUGUAGAUAUCUGGAAGAACACCAAUGGCGAAGGCAGGCAUCUGGCCAUGUACUGACGCUGAGACGCGAAAGUGCGGGGAGCAAACA
This 427-nucleotide ribosomal RNA is filed under the name uncultured Spirochaeta sp. RNAcentral's name for it is "bacterial SSU rRNA". It matches the Rfam family "Bacterial small subunit ribosomal RNA", at positions 355 to 774 of the family's 1533-position model. Lineage: Bacteria; Pseudomonadati; Spirochaetota; Spirochaetia; Spirochaetales; Spirochaetaceae. The record is from RNAcentral.